UACGAGGGGUGCAAGCGUUAUUCGGAUUAAUUGGGCGUAAAGGGUGCGCAGACGGUUUGUUAAGUCACUUGUUAAAUUCCUCGGCCUAACUGAGGGUAUGCGGGUGAUACUGGCGAACUAGAGGAUGGAAGAGAGAAGUGGAAUUCUCGGAGUAGCGGUAAAAUGCGUAGAUCUCGAGAGGAACACCAAUGGCGAAGGCAGCUUCUUGGUCCAUAUCUGACGUUCAUGCACGAAAGCGUGGGGAGCAAACAGGAUUAGAUACCCUGGUAGUCCACGCUGUAAACGAUGAUCACUAGACGUUAAUUCUGUUUAACAGGAUUAGUGUCGUAGCUAACGCGUUAAGUGAUCCGCCUGGGGAUUACGGUCGCAAGACUAAA
Molecule: ribosomal RNA, 377 nt
Filed under: uncultured bacterium
Lineage: Bacteria
Description: bacterial SSU rRNA
Rfam family: Bacterial small subunit ribosomal RNA
Source: RNAcentral